AACGAACGCUGGCGGCAGGCUUAACACAUGCAAGUCGAACGCCCCGCAAGGGGAGUGGCGCACGGGUGAGUAACGCGUGGAUAUCUGCCUUUUGGUUCGGAAUAACCCCGGGAAACUGGGGCUAAUACCGGAUGGUUCCUACAGGAUAAAGAUUUAUCGCCAAAAGAUGAGUCCGCGUACGAUUAGCUAGUUGGUGAGGUAAUGGCUCACCAAGGCGACGAUCGUUAGCUGGUCUGAGAGGACGAUCAGCCACACUGGGACUGAGACACGGCCCAGACUCCUACGGGAGGCAGCAGUGGGGAAUAUUGGACAAUGGGGGCAACCCUGAUCCAGCCAGGCCGCGUGAGUGAUGAAGGCCUUCGGGUUGUAAAGCUCUUUUGGCGGGGACGAUGAUGACGGGACCCGCAGAAUAAGCCCCGGCUAACUUCGU
This 430-nucleotide ribosomal RNA is filed under the name uncultured bacterium. RNAcentral's name for it is "partial 16S ribosomal RNA". It matches the Rfam family "Bacterial small subunit ribosomal RNA", at positions 29 to 506 of the family's 1533-position model. The record is from RNAcentral.